CCCUCCUGACCGCAGCGGCUAGAGGUUCCAUUGCAGACCCGGAGGCCGUGGCUGUGGUUCGCGGCGGUGCUGUCGCGGGCGCCCUGGCGCAGCCCACGCAGGGGCUCCUGAGGGUCCGCGAGGCCGGGAGGUCCGGGGGUCGGGAGGUCCCGGGGUCGGGAAGUCGGUGGACCCUGCAGGCCAGUGGGGAGGGGAGACAUAAGACAUCAGUCAGUACAUGUGAGGUGUGCAUUGGAUUGAUCCAGAAAGUCAGGACGACUCCAAGUGGAAAGGCCUCCAGGGACAGGAGACAGUAAAAGAAAUGGCCUCUCUCCUCUGUCAGAGUGGAGUCCCGAGCUCCCAGAAAUGCCACAUGAUGGACAAACGCUUGGGGGAAAAAAAAAAAAAAGGAGACCUCAGUCGGACACAAAAGCAGGAGCUUUAAAAGAAAAAAUAAGAGAUAAGUUGAACUUCACCAAAAAAUAAGCGUUUCUGGUCUUUGAAAGACACUUAAAAUGAAAAGGCAAGCCAUCGAUGGGGAAAAUACUCAGAAUAAUGGAUCUGACAGAGGGCUGUAUCUAGAAUAUAUGAAGAUAUUUUAAAAUCCAGUAAUUUGACAUAAAGAUGGUAGCCAGCCUGACACACAAAGGAACCCGAAUGGCCAAUGGACAGGAAGGGAACCCGUAUGGCCGAUGGACAGAAAGGGAAGUGAACGUGAACAUCUCAUUGGGGAUGCCGUUAUCACCACUGGAAUAGUCAAAAACAUGGACACCAAGUAUUGGUGGGUGAGUGGAAUGGCGGGAACCCACAUACACGGUCGAUGGGAGCUGCACCCUUUGGAAAUCAUUUCACAGUUUGUGCUCCAUCCUGGCCAAACCCACAGCUGGAGUCUUUCCAAAAACAGUGACGGGAGUUUCCACCAGGGAGUGCCUCAAACCAUCCCGAGAUGGGGCUGGUUGGGAUUCCAGGGAGAGGCACUCGUUGCCAGGGUGAUCCGUCCAGAGCACUUCCUAGGGGAUCUGGCAUAAGGAGGGCUGCAGUGUAUCCUCAGGACAGAUAGGACAGAUAGUGUAUCUUUGGGACAGACGGCAAGAUGGGGAUUCCACCCAGGUCUGUCUGCAGCGAGUUGAUAUGAGAGUUUAAGGAAUUUGGACCAGGGCUGCUUUGUUUCAGGGUUUUGGGCAAUGACCUAAACACCUUUAUCAGUGCCUGGGAAUGCUCAAGGCCCAGCUUGAGUUCAGGCCUGCAGGGAAAACCUGCAACUGGCCGGGCUGCAGAGUGGUCAGGGCACGGAAAGCCAGAAGCUGGGGACACACCUGCUGUAUGAUCCAGCCGUUCGUCUUUACCUGGGAGAAAUGGCACCACCUGGCUGAACAUAACUUCUUACACUCCCAUGAGUCCUCCUGGACAGGUGCUGUGACCUCGUGCAGCCUUGGGGACCCUGACACUCCCACGGACAGGCCAAGGGGUUUGCCUGGGCCCUGUGGGCACAGAGCCCCUUGAGAUGGGUUUCCCUAUGCAGCCCCCCACCCCCCACCGGGGACCCAUGGCACUGCAGCCCUCACCCCCC
Molecule: long non-coding RNA, 1549 nt
Filed under: Homo sapiens (human)
Lineage: Eukaryota; Metazoa; Chordata; Mammalia; Primates; Hominidae
Description: HSALNT0274615
Source: RNAcentral